AUCCAGCUGACGAGUCCAAAAUAGGACGAAGCGCGUGGCCUCGAU
RNAcentral lists this non-coding RNA (45 nucleotides) under Schistosoma margrebowiei. The record is from RNAcentral. Lineage: Eukaryota; Metazoa; Platyhelminthes; Trematoda; Strigeidida; Schistosomatidae.